AGUGAACGCUGGCGGUAGGCCUAACACAUGCAAGUCGAACGGCAGCACAGUAAGAGCUUGCUCUUACGGGUGGCGAGUGGCGGACGGGUGAGGAAUACAUCGGAAUCUACUUUUUCGUGGGGGAUAACGUAGGGAAACUUACGCUAAUACCGCAUACGACCUACGGGUGAAAGCAGGGGAUCUUCGGACCUUGCGCGAUUGAAUGAGCCGAUGUCGGAUUAGCUAGUUGGCGGGGUAAAGGCCCACCAAGGCGACGAUCCGUAGCUGGUCUGAGAGGAUGAUUCGCCACACUGGAACUGAGACACGGUCCAGACUCCUACGGGAGGACGCAGUGGGGAAUAUUGGACAAUGGGCGCAAGCCUGAUCCAGCCAUACCGCGUGGGUGAAGAAGGCCUUCGGGUUGUAAAGCCAUUUUGUUGGGAAAGAAAAGCAGCAGGUUAAUCCCCCGCUGUUCUGACGGUACCCAAGGAAUAAGCACCGGCUAACUUCGCG
RNAcentral lists this ribosomal RNA (492 nucleotides) under uncultured bacterium. RNAcentral describes it as "partial 16S ribosomal RNA". It matches the Rfam family "Bacterial small subunit ribosomal RNA", at positions 29 to 507 of the family's 1533-position model. The record is from RNAcentral.